Long non-coding RNA from Bactrocera neohumeralis, 3505 nucleotides. RefSeq lists it as uncharacterized. Lineage: Eukaryota; Metazoa; Arthropoda; Insecta; Diptera; Tephritidae. The transcript has 2 exons. The record is from RefSeq and is a predicted model, not a curated record.
CCUGAAGUGGGUGGAAAAUUUACGCAUCCCACCAUCGCUGGAUUUACCCACCCACAAUGCAUUUGUUUGCAUUAAGCACUUCGAACAAAGUGCUGUGUGUGUGAAAAAGUUGAAGGCACAGGCUGUGCCCACCCUAAACCUUGGUAAGUGAUGUUUUUUUAAAUCUAAAAUGUGCAUGAGUUUUAUUUUGUAGAUACAUACAUACAUAUAAGUACUUGUACAUAUCGCUCAUUUACAUGAAAAGUGUCUAUAUAAUUUUGUGCUUGUAACUCAAAGUCUUUUUCUUCGCGGAGUGUCACUUAUGAUGGAAAUAAUGUAUUACUUUAACUUUACCCCGUUGAUCCGCGCCUGCAUGUAUAGUAUGUUCAAUAUAUUUGAACAUAGAUAUUUAAUAUUUUUCUAAUUAAAAUUUAAUUAAUUUAAUUUAAUUCUAAUUUUUCUAAUUAAAAGAAUUUUCGACAGAUAUAUUAUAAAAUUGUUUAAAAUUUAUCAAACUGGAAACAGUGGGUUGAAUUUGAUUUAAAAUUAUAUUUAAAUUUUAAUUAGCUUUAUAUAUACAUACGUACAUAUUGGAAUUUCUUUAAAAUUUUUUUAUGUACAUAAAUAGGAUACGACGAACCCCCUAAGCAUUUGUGGACAAUUGAGUCGCCGGUUCGAAGAUGCUGCAUUUCGAAUUGCGUUAACAGGCAGAAAACGCUCUACAAAUUUCCUAAAGAGAAAGAUGUUCGAGAAAGUUGGGCAAAGGCUUGCAACUUAGUUGUGUCGCCUUCCGAUAGUUUUUUUAUUUGUCGAAACCAUUUCGAUUCGCAGUACGUUGCCAAAUUCAAACUUUUGCCAGGGGCUUUUCCCUGUUUCAGAUUAGGUUCAGCACUAAGUCGUAGCUUAUCUAGUGCUUACUCAAUUUGGGUGUGCCCGCCCGUUUCUAAAACUUAUGGUUGUCCUGAGGUAGCUGUACGACAUAACUUUGAAGGAAUUCGAAACAUAUUCAAUUUUAGAACAAAGGAGAUUAGAAUUAGAACCCCAAAAUGACGACGUAGGCUAUGCAUUAGAUAGUCGUGAACGAUUUGCUCGAUCGGCACGUUACUAUCAAAGUAAUGCGCUUAAAUUGAAUGAGAAGAUCAGUUGGAGUUGGAGGAUAUUAUUAAAGAUUUGGAAAAAAGGUAUCAAGACCUUAGUAAAUGUGCAAUAGCUGCGGAUGUAAAUUCAAGCAAAGAUGCUGUAACAUUCGCUAGGAUGAUCGUCGCGAAGCGCACUAUUUUCAGUGACGAUGAAAGGGCAUUGGCACAAAACAUUAAUUACAUGUCCAAUAAAUCCUAUAAUUUUAUGGGUGACGAUUUAGGUUUCGCUUUACCAAGCAAGAGCUCUCUUUUGCGAUGGCGCCCCAUAAAGUAUGUUGUCCCUGGGUUCGAUGCCAAUUUAUUUUAGAAAAAAAUACAAAAGAAAUGUCCGUUUUAGAACGAAAUUGCGUUCUAUUAUUUGAUGAAAUAUCAAUUAAGACCGGUAUAACAUACAAUAGAGUUAGGGAUGUUAUUGACGGGUUUGUGGAUUAUGGGGAAGGCCAUCGUGAAAUGAAAUUAUGUAGGAAGUGUUGUUUUUUCAUGAUAAAAGGGUUGAGUUCCAAUUGGAAAUAUGUGUUUUCAUAUUAUAUUUCCAAAAGUGGACUUCCUACAUUCAAAUUACAUGAAAUUUUGAAUAAGAACAUCACAGCACUAAAGUCGAUUGGUCUAAACGUAAAAGCUUUAGUCUGUGAUCAAGGGCCCGCUAAUAUUUCAGUUAUGAAUUAUUUAAAUAUUUCUGAAGAAAAACCCUUUUAUUUGCACGAAGGUUCCAAGAUAUAUUGUUUAUAUGACUAUUGCCAUCUUUUUAAGUCCGCCCGAAAUACAUUUAUGAAAUAUGAUAUUUCAACUCCAGAUGGCCAGCUUUAAAGUUAUAAAAAAACUUUACUCCAUAGAUCAGGACAAUACAUGUUUCACGAUAUGUCCAAAACUCACAGAGGCCCACGUAUAUCCUAGCGUUUUUGAAAAAAUGUCCGUAAAACGUGCAAUCCAAGUUCUGAGCAAUUCGGUUGCGGCUGGCAUAGAAAUGGCCGAUAGCCAAAAUUUAUUCGGCUCCGACGAAUAUAUAUUAAAUGUGCAAAGCCUACGCAGUUAUUUGUUAAAAAAUGAAUGAUCUGUUCGAUGAUCUAGACUGCAAAAAUUUUGUUUCAACAAAAUCCCUUAAAAUAUCCGUUAUUAAAGAACGACUCCGGGAAGGUCCAACGCCUCUAUGAAUACAUUAAUUAUUUGAAAUCAAUCAAACUUCCGAGCAUUGCUCACAGUAGGUGUAUAGGUGGGUUCUGUUCCACAAUUGUUGGAAUGAUUCAGUUGAGCCAAGAAUUAUUUAGGGAUCAAAAGGAAUUAAGUUUUAUAUUUCUUGGGAAAAUGAACCAAGAUGCGUUGGAAAAUUUUUUUUAUAGAGUCCGGGCUAGCCAGGGUAUCAAUACCCAUCCGUCUGCCAAUGAGAUACAAUAUAUAGUAGGUCGUUUAAUUUCGAUGAAAAUUUUGGGGCAAAAGUUUCAAAAUAAGGGGGCUAAUUGUGAGGAUGAUAAAUUUAGAUUGGAACUUGGGCCCCGAAGAUCGUCAUCUAGAAGUACAGGGAGUUGAACACGAAUCUGAGCAACUCGACCUGGAAUCGUUUACUAUUUCAAACGAAAACUUUGUUGAAGAGGACGACACAGCUGACGUCCAUAUCAAGCGGUAUUACACUGGCUAUGGUAUUUACCAAAAAAAUUUUGUAUAAAAUCCAUUGCGAAAAAUGCGCUAAGGCAAUGACGAAGACACAAAGUGAUUUAUCGCUUUAUUCGGAGGCCCUAAUCAAAGCGAAAAACUAUAAGGAUGACGCGGAUUUAAGGCUAGUCAAUCCAAGUGAUAGGGUCUUCGAAGUGUGACGACUGCAGAUGAUGUGGUACGUCAACCUUUUCAACAAAUAUGCUCACAGUUCAAAUGUUCGAUGUCUGAUGUUGUCCGUAAUUAAAGAAAAAACGGAAAAUUUUUUCCUGAGUUGUUUGACCCAACCGAUGAGUGUUUUACUCAUAAAAUUAAGUUGUUAGAAUACUUGGUAAUGGUACUUUUAUUCAAAAUCUCGAAAUGGUUAGUAAAAGAAGAAAUUAAUAAUGAACGACAUUGGAAGCGCGAUGCUAAGCUAAAAAAACUAAAGUAAGUUGCAAGUCAAGACCGUUUGAUUUAAGAACAUCUUACUUUUGGGUUUUUUUAUUUUCAGCUUUUUCCUCUAUUUUCAGGCUUAUCUCGUUGUAUUUUCAGGUACUUUUUUCUUCUUCUUAUUUUUCUCCUUUUUAGCUCUGCAACUGAGCUUGGCUUUUUUAAACACAAAUGUUGUUUCCAUCUUGUUUAAGUGCAACAUUUGUUUUUAAAAAAGCAAGUGAAAUUCAAUGACUUUUUUAUAUAUUAAGUCGUGUGAGAAAUUUCCAUUUCAAAUGGACAAUUUCGUAAUUCUGCAUUAUAAUUUU